Molecule: ribosomal RNA, 229 nt
Filed under: uncultured bacterium
Lineage: Bacteria
Description: partial 16S ribosomal RNA
Rfam family: Bacterial small subunit ribosomal RNA
Source: RNAcentral
UAUGUAGGUGGUUAAGUAAGUCGAGCGUGAAAUCCAUUGGCUCAACCAAUGAACUGCACUCGAAACUGCAUAACUUGAGUUCAGGAGAGGAAAGCGGAAUUCCCGGUGUAAGAGUGAAAUCUGUAGAGAUCGGGAGGAACACCAGUGGCGAAGGCGGCUUUCUGGACUGAUACUGACACUGAAAUACGAAAGCUAGGGGAGCAAACAGGAUUAGAUACCCUGGUAGUCC